GCGAAUUCUCCACUGAUUUCUGGUUGAUCCCGGCAGAAGUCACUGCUAUCGGGGUUCGAUUAAGCCAUGCGAGUCGAGAGGGUUCAGACCCUCGGCGGACUGCUCAGUAACACGUGGAUAAUCUGCCCUAUGGUGGAGAAUAACCCCGGGAAACUGGGGAUAAUACUCCAUAAGUCAGGAGUACUGGAAUGUCUCCUAACUGAAAGUUGCGGCGCCAUAGGAUGAAUCUGCGGCCGAUUAGGUAGUUGUUGGGGUAACGGCCCAACAAGCCCGUAAUCGGUACGGGUUGUGGGAGCAAGAGCCCGGAGAUGGAAUCUGAGACACGAUUCCAGGCCCUACGGGGCGCAGCAGGCGCGAAAACUUUACAAUGCAGGAAACUGUGAUAAGGGAACCCCGAGUGCCCGUACACGCGGGCUGUCCCGGUGUUUAAAACACAUCGGAAGAAAGGGCCGGGCAAGACCGGUGCCAGCCGCCGCGGUAAUACCGGCGGCUCGAGUGGUGACCACUUUUAUUGGGCUUAAAGCGUUCCUAGCUUGAUUUUGUAAUCUCUUGGGAAUCUCACGGGCUUAACUGGGAGGCGUCUAAAAGAUACUGGGAAAUCUACGGGACCGGGAAAAGUUAGAAGUUACUUCCGGGGGAAAAAGGGAAUUGCUGUAAUCCUGGGAGGGACCCCGAAUGGCAAAAGCAUCUUUACCAAAACGGCUUUCCACGGGGGGAAACGAAGCUGGGGGAACGAACGGGGAUUUUUUACCCCCGGGUUUCCCAGCCGAAAACUUUGCCGUUUGGUGGGGCCGGGAACUUCAAUUGCCCCGGGGAGCCAAAUGGAAACAGGGAAAGGGGCGCCC
This 845-nucleotide ribosomal RNA is filed under the name uncultured rumen archaeon. RNAcentral describes it as "bacterial SSU rRNA". It matches the Rfam family "Archaeal small subunit ribosomal RNA", at positions 1 to 829 of the family's 1478-position model. The record is from RNAcentral.